AGCAAUAUUGGUUCAUGAUAUGCAUUAAUAAAAUAUUGUAUUCAGGUAUACCUUUGGAAAAAAUUCGCAGGUGCUUAUGUUGUAACCUGCACGACCGCAUUUACUAGUGAUUCACUUGAUUUUGUAUGCCUUCUUUUCUUUGUCUUUCCUAGCAAUUUUCUAUAUUUUGGUGGUAAUACUUCUUCCUCUUCAACAUAUUCGGCACAUGCCUUGAG
RNAcentral lists this long non-coding RNA (215 nucleotides) under Capsicum annuum. Its description in RNAcentral is "long non-coding RNA (CANN_LNC012863)". The record is from RNAcentral. Lineage: Eukaryota; Viridiplantae; Streptophyta; Magnoliopsida; Solanales; Solanaceae.